Molecule: small RNA, 167 nt
Filed under: uncultured Mediterraneibacter sp.
Lineage: Bacteria; Bacillati; Bacillota; Clostridia; Lachnospirales; Lachnospiraceae
Description: Clostridiales-1 RNA
Rfam family: Clostridiales-1 RNA
Source: RNAcentral
GAUGCCAGGAUCAAAAGGUCUGAACCCACAUGAGCUUGUUCAUAAGUGGGUGAAAGACCUUGGGACCCGCCCCGAUAUGAGCACAAAAGUGGGAUGCAUAUCCCCACGAUAUGCGAAUAUUGGGGAGGAUUGUGGAAGUGCGCAGCACGGAACAAUCCGUAGGCAUC